This 484-nucleotide ribosomal RNA is filed under the name uncultured bacterium. Its description in RNAcentral is "partial 16S ribosomal RNA". It matches the Rfam family "Bacterial small subunit ribosomal RNA", at positions 30 to 507 of the family's 1533-position model. The record is from RNAcentral.
AUUGAACGCUGGCGGCAGGCCUAACACAUGCAAGUCGAGCGGAUGAAGGGAGCUUGCUCCUGGAUUCAGCGGCGGACGGGUGAGUAAUGCCUAGGAAUCUGCCUGGUAGUGGGGGAUAACGUCCGGAAACGGGCGCUAAUACCGCCUACGUCCUGAGGGAGAAAGUGGGGGAUCGUCGGACCUCACGCUAUCAGAUGAGCCUAGGUCGGAUUAGCUAGUUGGUGGGGUAAAGGCCUACCAAGGCGACGAUCCGUAACUGGUCUGAGAGGAUGAUCAGUCACACUGGAACUGAGACACGGUCCAGACUCCUACGGGAGGCAGCAGUGGGGAAUAUUGGACAAUGGGCGAAAGCCUGAUCCAGCCAUGCCGCGUGUGUGAAGAAGGUCUUCGGAUUGUAAAGCACUUUAAGUUGGGAGGAAGGGCAGUAAGUUAAUACCUUGCUGUUUUGACGUUACCAACAGAAUAAGCACCGGCUAACUUCGUG